GAAAAGGCAAACCUGUCGAAAGGCAGGGACGCAAAGCCUCGGGCCUAAAGGACCAACUCCCACGGCGGCCGGGUUGCCGAA
RNAcentral lists this non-coding RNA (81 nucleotides) under Gorillibacterium timonense. RNAcentral's name for it is "Cyclic di-GMP-I riboswitch". It matches the Rfam family "c-di-GMP-I riboswitch aptamer". From Rfam's summary of the family: GEMM was predicted in a large-scale screen for bacterial structured RNA regulatory elements. Genes associated with GEMM are involved in a diverse array of functions, including chemotaxis regulation, signal transduction, secretion and chitin. Lineage: Bacteria; Bacillati; Bacillota; Bacilli; Caryophanales; Paenibacillaceae. The record is from RNAcentral.